Molecule: ribosomal RNA, 253 nt
Filed under: uncultured bacterium
Lineage: Bacteria
Description: partial 16S ribosomal RNA
Rfam family: Bacterial small subunit ribosomal RNA
Source: RNAcentral
UACGUAGGGGGCGAGCGUUGUCCGGAAUCAUUGGGCGUAAAGAGCGUGUAGGCGGCUUGGCAAGUCUGACGUGAAAGCCCGCGGCUCAACCGCGGAUUGUCGUUGGAAACUGCCUCGCUAGAGUCCGGAAGAGGAGAGCGGAAUUCCUGGUGUAGCGGUGGAAUGCGCAGAUAUCAGGAAGAACACCCGUGGCGAAAGCGGCUCACUGGGUCUUUUCUGACGCUGAUGCACGAAAGCUAGGGGAGCAAACGGG